This 638-nucleotide ribosomal RNA is filed under the name uncultured Bacteroides sp. Its description in RNAcentral is "bacterial SSU rRNA". It matches the Rfam family "Bacterial small subunit ribosomal RNA", at positions 78 to 715 of the family's 1533-position model. The record is from RNAcentral. Lineage: Bacteria; Pseudomonadati; Bacteroidota; Bacteroidia; Bacteroidales; Bacteroidaceae.
AGCAAUACCGCUGACGACCGGCGCACGGGUGAGUAACACGUAUCCAACCUACCAUUCACUCGGGGAUAGCCUUUCGAAAGAAAGAUUAAUACCCGAUAGUAUAGCGAUAAGGCAUCUUAUUGCUAUUAAAGAAUUUCGGUGUUUGAUGGGGAUGCGUUCCAUUAGAUUGUUGGUGAGGUAACGGCUCACCAAGUCUUCGAUGGAUAGGGGUUCUGAGAGGAAGGUCCCCCACAUUGGGACUGAGACACGGUCCAAACUCCUACGGGAGGCAGCAGUGAGGAAUAUUGGUCAAUGGACGAGAGUCUGAACCAGCCAAGUAGCGUGAAGGAUGAAGGCCCUAUGGGUCGUAAACUUCUUUUAUAGGGGAAUAAAGUGCGGAACGUGUUCCGCUUUGUAUGUACCCUACGAAUAAGGAUCGGCUAACUCCGUGCCAGCAGCCGCGGUAAUACGGAGGAUCCGAGCGUUAUCCGGAUUUAUUGGGUUUAAAGGGAGCGUAGGUGGACGUAUAAGUCAGUUGUGAAAGUUUGCGGCUCAACCGUAAAAUUGCAGUUGAUACUGUAUGUCUUGAGUGUACAAGAGGUGGGCGGAAUUCGUGGUGUAGCGGUGAAAUGCUUAGAUAUCACGAAGAACUCCGAUUG